Molecule: ribosomal RNA, 375 nt
Filed under: uncultured bacterium
Lineage: Bacteria
Description: bacterial SSU rRNA
Rfam family: Bacterial small subunit ribosomal RNA
Source: RNAcentral
UAAUACGAAGGGGGCUAGCGUUGUUCGGAAUCACUGGGCGUAAAGCGCAUGUAGGCGGGCUAUUAAGUCGGGGGUGAAAUCCCAGGGCUCAACCCUGGAACUGCCUUCGAUACUGAUGGUCUGGAGUGUGGAAGAGGUUGGUGGAACUGCGAGUGUAGAGGUGAAAUUCGUAGAUAUUCGCAAGAACACCAGUGGCGAAGGCGGCCAACUGGUCCAUUACUGACGCUGAGAUGCGAAAGCGUGGGGAGCAAACAGGAUUAGAUACCCUGGUAGUCCACGCCGUAAACGAUGAGAGCUAGCCGUUGGGGAGUUUACUCUUCAGUGGCGCAGACAACUCGAUAAGCUCUCCGCCUGGGGAGUACGGUCGCAAGAUUA